This 74-nucleotide transfer RNA is filed under the name Podarcis lilfordi (Lilford's wall lizard). RNAcentral's name for it is "tRNA.Asn". It matches the Rfam family "tRNA". Rfam says of the family: Transfer RNA (tRNA) molecules are approximately 80 nucleotides in length. The record is from RNAcentral. Lineage: Eukaryota; Metazoa; Chordata; Lepidosauria; Squamata; Lacertidae.
UGCCGGAUAGCUCAGUUGGUAGAGCAUUAGAUUAUUACUCUCAGGCUCAUGGGUUCAAGCCCCACGUUGGGCAA